UACGUAGGGGGCAAGCGUUGUUCGGAAUUACUGGGCGUAAAGGGUUCGUAGGCGGUCAACUAAGUCAAACGUGAAAUCCCUCGGCUUAACCGGGGAACUCCGUCUGAUACUGGAUGGCUUGAGUUUGGGAGAGGGAUGCGGAAUUCCAGGUGUAGCGGUGAAAUGCGUAGAUAUCUGGAGGAACACCGGUGGCGAAGGCGGCAUCUUGGACCAACACUGACGCUGAGGAGCGAAAGCCAGGGGAGCAAACGGG
This 253-nucleotide ribosomal RNA is filed under the name uncultured bacterium. RNAcentral describes it as "partial 16S ribosomal RNA". It matches the Rfam family "Bacterial small subunit ribosomal RNA", at positions 524 to 776 of the family's 1533-position model. The record is from RNAcentral.